This 433-nucleotide ribosomal RNA is filed under the name uncultured bacterium. RNAcentral's name for it is "partial 16S ribosomal RNA". It matches the Rfam family "Bacterial small subunit ribosomal RNA", at positions 29 to 507 of the family's 1533-position model. The record is from RNAcentral.
AACGAACGCUGGCGGCAGGCCUAACACAUGCAAGUCGAGCGAGGACUUCGGUUCUAGCGGCGGACGGGUGAGUAACGCGUGGGAAUGUGCCCUUCUCUACGGAAUAGCCCUGGGAAACUGGGAGUAAUACCGUAUACGCCCUAUGGGGGAAAGAUUUAUCGGAGAAGGAUCAGCCCGCGUUGGAUUAGGUAGUUGGUGGGGUAAUGGCCUACCAAGCCGACGAUCCAUAGCUGGUUUGAGAGGAUGAUCAGCCACACUGGGACUGAGACACGGCCCAGACUCCUACGGGAGGCAGCAGUGGGGAAUCUUAGACAAUGGGGGCAACCCUGAUCUAGCCAUGCCGCGUGAGUGAUGAAGGCCUUAGGGUUGUAAAGCUCUUUCAGCUGGGAAGAUAAUGACGGUACCAGCAGAAGAAGCCCCGGCUAACUCCGUG